GCGGAGGAAAAGAAACCAACAGGGAUUGCCCUAGUAACGGCGAGUGAAGCGGCAACAGCUCAAAUUUGAAAUCUGGCGCAAGCCCGAGUUGUAAUUUGUAGAGGAUGCUUCUGGGUAGCGGCCGGUCUAAGUUCCUUGGAACAGGACGUCAUAGAGGGUGAGAAUCCCGUAUGUGACUGGCUUGCACCCUCCACGUAGCUCCUUCGACGAGUCGAGUUGUUUGGGAAUGCAGCUCUAAAUGGGAGGUAAAUUUCUUCUAAAGCUAAAUACCGGCCAGAGACCGAUAGCGCACAAGUAGAGUGAUCGAAAGAUGAAAAGCACUUUGGAAAGAGAGUUAAAAAGCACGUGAAAUUGUUGAAAGGGAAGCGCCCGCAACCAGACUUUGCGGCAGUGUUCGGCCGGUCUUCUGACCGGUUUACUCGCUGUCGUGAGGCCAUCAUCGUCUGGGACCGCUGGAUAAGACCUUAGGAAUGUGGCUCCCCUCGGGGAGUGUUAUAGCCUCUGGUGAUGCAGCGCGUCUCGGGCGAGGUCCGCGCUUCGGCAAGGAUGAUGGCGUAAUGGUUGUCGGCGGCCCGUCUUGAAACACGGACCAAGGAGUCUAACAUCUAUGCGAGUGUUCGGGUGUCAAACCCCUACGCGUAAUGAAAGUGAACGGAGGUGGGAACUUUUUGUGCACCAUCGACCGAUCCUGAUGUCCUCGGAUGGAUUUGAGUAAGAGCAUAGCUGUUGGGACCCGAAAGAUGGUGAACUAUGCCUGAAUAGGGUGAAGCCAGAGGAAACUCUGGUGGAGGCUCGCAGCGGUUCUGACGUGCAAAUCGAUCGUCAAAUUUGGGUAUAGGGGCGAAAGACUAAU
This 853-nucleotide ribosomal RNA is filed under the name Pseudocercospora sawadae. RNAcentral describes it as "eukaryotic LSU rRNA". It matches the Rfam family "Eukaryotic large subunit ribosomal RNA", at positions 50 to 935 of the family's 3401-position model. Lineage: Eukaryota; Fungi; Ascomycota; Dothideomycetes; Mycosphaerellales; Mycosphaerellaceae. The record is from RNAcentral.